RNAcentral lists this ribosomal RNA (497 nucleotides) under uncultured bacterium. Its description in RNAcentral is "partial 16S ribosomal RNA". It matches the Rfam family "Bacterial small subunit ribosomal RNA", at positions 28 to 507 of the family's 1533-position model. The record is from RNAcentral.
GAUGAACGCUGGCGGCGUGCCUAAUACAUGCAAGUCGAGCGAACAGACGAGGAGCUUGCUCCUCUGACGUUAGCGGCGGACGGGUGAGUAACACGUGGAUAACCUACCUAUAAGACUGGGAUAACUUCGGGAAACCGGAGCUAAUACCGGAUAAUAUAUUGAACCGCAUGGUUCAAUAGUGAAAGACGGUUUUGCUGUCACUUAUAGAUGGAUCCGCGCCGCAUUAGCUAGUUGGUAAGGUAACGGCUUACCAAGGCAACGAUGCGUAGCCGACCUGAGAGGGUGAUCGGCCAAACUGGAACUGAGAAACGGUCCAGACGACUACGGGAGGCAGCAGUAGGGAAUCUUCCGCAAUGGGCGAAAGCCUGAAGGAGCAACGCCGCGUGAGUGAUGAAGGUCUUCGGAUCGUAAAACUCUGUUAUUAGGGAAGAACAAAUGUGUAAGUAACUAUGCACGUCUUGACGGUACCUAAUCAGAAAGCCACGGCUAACUACGUG